Molecule: ribosomal RNA, 518 nt
Filed under: uncultured Bacteroidota bacterium
Lineage: Bacteria; Pseudomonadati; Bacteroidota
Description: bacterial SSU rRNA
Rfam family: Bacterial small subunit ribosomal RNA
Source: RNAcentral
UUUGAUCCUGGCUCAGGAUGAACGCUAGCGGCAGGCUUAACACAUGCAAGUCGAGGGGUAACAGGGAAGCUUGCUUCCGCUGACGACCGGCGCACGGGUGCGUAACGCGUAUAGAACCUACCUUUUACAGAGGGAUAGCCUUUAGAAAUGAAGAUUAAUACCUCAUAGUACUACAGAUUCGCAUGAAUUUAUACUUAAAGAUUUAUCGGUAAAAGAUGGCUAUGCGUCCUAUUAGCUAGAUGGUAAGGUAACGGCUUACCAUGGCAACGAUAGGUAGGGGUCCUGAGAGGGAGAUCCCCCACACUGGUACUGAGACACGGACCAGACUCCUACGGGAAGCAGCAGUGAGGAAUAUUGGGCAAUGGAGGCAACUCUGACCCAGCCAUGCCGCGUGCAGGAAGACGGCCCUAUGGGUUGUAAACUGCUUUUAUACAGGAAGAAACCCUCGUACGAGUACGAGCUUGACGGUACUGUAAGAAUAAGGACCGGCUAACUCCGUGCCAGCAGCCGCGGUAAUA